GAUAUGGCAUCAUAUUAUUAUUAAAACUUCGGUGGUAAUAGAUGAGUAUGCGUCCUAUUAGUUAGUUGGAAAGGUAACGGCUUCCCAAGACAUCGAUAGGUAGGGGUCCUGAGAGGGAGAUCCCCCACACUGGUACUGAGACACGGACCAGACUCCUACGGGAGGCAGCAGUGAGGAAUAUUGGACAAUGGAGGCAACUCUGAUCCAGCCAUGCCGCGUGCAGGAAGACUGCCCUAUGGGUUGUAAACUGCUUUUAUAGAGGAAGAAACCUUCUCACGUGUGAGAAUCUGACGGUACUCUACGAAUAAGGAUCGGCUAACUCCGUGCCAGCAGCCGCGGUAAUACGGAGGAUCCAAGCGUUAUCCGGAAUCAUUGGGUUUAAAGGGUCCGUAGGCGGGCAGUUAAGUCAGUGGUGAAAGUCUUCCGCUCAACGGGAGAAUUGCCAUUGAUACUGAUUGUCUUGAGUUAUUAUGAAGUGGUUAGAAUGAGUAGUGUAGCGGUGAAAUGCAUAGAUAUUACUCAGAAUACCGAUUGCGAAGGCAGAUCACUAAUAAUAUACUGACGCUGAUGGACGAAAGCGUAGGUAGCGAACAGGAUUAGAUACCCUGGUAGUCUACGCCGUAAACGAUGGUUACUAGCUGUCCGGUCUAAUUGAGGACUGGGUGGCUAAGCGAAAGUGAUAAGUAACCCACCUGGGGAGUACGUUCGCAAGAAUGAAACUCAAAGGAAUUGACGGGGGCCCGCACAAGCGGUGGAGCAUGUGGUUUAAUUCGAUGAUACGCGAGGAACCUUACCAGGGCUUAAAUGCAGUCUGACGUACUUGGAAACAGGUAUUUCUUCGGACAGAUUGCAAGGUGCUGCAUGGUUGUCGUCAGCUCGUGCCGUGAGGUGUCAGGUUAAGUCCUAUAACGAGCGCAACCCCUGUGGUUAGUUGCCAGCGAGUCAAGUCGGGAACUCUAGCCAGACUGCCGGUGCAAACCGUGAGGAAGGUGGGGAUGACGUCAAAUCAUCACGGCCCUUACGUCCUGGGCUACACACGUGCUACAAUGGUAGGGACAGAGAGCAGCCACUGGGCGACCAGGAGCGAAUCUA
Molecule: ribosomal RNA, 1092 nt
Filed under: Mesonia phycicola
Lineage: Bacteria; Pseudomonadati; Bacteroidota; Flavobacteriia; Flavobacteriales; Flavobacteriaceae
Description: bacterial SSU rRNA
Rfam family: Bacterial small subunit ribosomal RNA
Source: RNAcentral